RNAcentral lists this transfer RNA (67 nucleotides) under Onthophagus rhinolophus. RNAcentral describes it as "tRNA-Gly". The record is from RNAcentral. Lineage: Eukaryota; Metazoa; Arthropoda; Insecta; Coleoptera; Scarabaeidae.
AUUUAUAUAGUAUAAUAUAUUACUAUUGAUUUCCAAUCAAAUAAUCUAAUUCUAAUUAGUAUAAAUA